Long non-coding RNA from Sarcophilus harrisii (Tasmanian devil), 2813 nucleotides. The record is from Ensembl. Lineage: Eukaryota; Metazoa; Chordata; Mammalia; Dasyuromorphia; Dasyuridae.
CUUUCUGGAACUAGACUGCUAAGCAUUCCACCUUUACUUUAUUGGGCUGGUCACAUUAUUCAAAUGCCAAAUGUAUACUUGCUAAAAAAUAAUAUUUUAUGGAGAACUCACACAGGCAAGUGCUCACAAAAUGGUCAGAAAAAGUGAUACAAGGACAUCCUGAAGGUCUCUCUUAAGAACUUUAGAUUUGUUUGCAUGACAUUGGAGAUACUGGCACAGAAUCGCCCAGCAUGGUGUGCACUCAUCAGAGAAGGGGCUUUGUUCUAUGAGCAAAGCAGAAUUGAAUUAGGCCAGAAGAAACUCAAGCAAAAUUAAAGAAACCCUCAAAUGUUCAAAGGGACUAUUCUUGUCCCACCUGUGGCAGAGCAUUCUGAGCUCAUACUGAUCUAAUCAACCACAGUCAGACACACUGGAACUUGACUCUAACAUAGUGAUAUCAUUUUGGUCUUCUUUGAGAUAGAAGGAUAACAACAACAACAAUAUUUACAUAGCAUUUAAUUUCCUUUUAUUGCCUUUUUCAUUUACAUUAUUGUUGAUAUGAACUUUUUUUUAUUUUGUUGAUUUUAUUUUGCAUCAGUUAAUAUAAAUUUCUGACUUAUCUUUUCCUUCGGAGGUUCUCUCUCAUAAAAUUUUGGUCAGUUUUGAAACUUUAUUUUUCUUCUACUCUGAAUAGGCAGGUAAGUGGCAGAAUGGAUAGAGUGCUUUGUGACUUCAAAUCUGGUGUCAGAAAUUCACUAGCUCUGUGACCCUGGGCAAGUCAUUUAACCAUGUUUGCCUCACUUCCUCAUUUAUAGAAUGAACUGGAGAAGGAAAUGGGAAACCACUCCAGUAUCUCUUUCAAGAAAACAUUAAAAGAGAACACAAAAGAGAUCUGACAAAACUGAAAACAACCAAACAACAAAAUCUGGAGUGUGAAUUAAUACUGUGAAUUUUAACCUUUCAAGUUCUAAAAUGUUACAUGUAUGUGAGCUGAUGAACCACAAUGACCCUAAGCCUUUAACCCUAAGCCUCAGUCUUUCUCAAACUAUCUUAUUUAGAUCCAUUCAUCUGAGGGACAGCUCCUUAUAUAAUACUACUAAACAACAUUUUCUCCCCCACACACAUUAAGGGGAAAAGUGUAUCUUUAAAACACAUGGAUUUUUAUGUUUUUCUGUGCACAAAAAUCCUUUUCUCCCUACCCCUUUCUUUGCCAACCAGGUCAUACAAUAAAGGGGCAAUACUUUAUACCUUUGAUAAGUUAGAUUUAAUCUUUUUGUGCACACUACAGUCCCUUUCAACAGCCAGACCAAUAACAUGUGAAACACGACAUCAAUUUUUUCUUUCUUUCUUUUUUUUUUUGCUGAGACAAUUGGAGUUAAGUGACUUGCCCAGGGUCACACAGCUAAGGAAGUAUUAAGUGUCUGAGACCAGAUUUGAACUCAGAUCCUCCUGACUUCAGGAUUAGUACUUUAUCCACUAUGUCACCUAGCUGCCCCCAUGACAUCAAUUUUUUGAUGACUUAAAAAAAUUAUUUUACUUUUUUCUCCAGUUAACAGGACAAGACAAUUUUAAGCAUUCAUUUUACAUUCAUACAUUUUUACGUUUAAUUCAUUUUUGAAUUCCAAAAUUUUCUUUCUUCUCCUCUCCUCUCUACCAGAGGGUAGGUAUUUGAUACAGUUUAUACAUCUGCUAUCAUGUAAACUAUAUUUGCAUAUUAAUCAAUUGUGAAAGAAGAAAUAGAUCAAAAGGAAAAGGAAAAAAAAAACCACAAGAAAGAACAAAGUUAAGUGAAAAAAUGUUUCAAUCUGUAUUCCAAGUCCAUCAAUUCUUUAUCUGGUCAUUGAUAGCAUUUUCCUUCACUGAGUUGCUGAGAAGAGCAGUCAUUCAUAGUUGAUCAUCACACAGUGACCAUUUGACUUUUCAUCAGUAUGUAUAAGCCUUUCCAGGUUUUUCUGAAAUCUUCAUGUUUUUCACUUCUUAUUGCAUAAUAGUAUUCCAUUAAAUUGAUGUAUCAUAGCUUGUUCAGUCAUUCCCCAACUGAUGGGCAUCCCCUCAAUUUCCAGUAUUUUACCAUAGAAAGGGCUGCUAUAAAUAUUUUUUUACACAUGUAGGCCCUUUUCCUUUUAUAAUGAUCUUUUGGGGAUACAGACCUAGCAGUGGUAUAUGCUGAAUCAAAGGUUAUACAGAGUUUGGUUUUCCUUUCGACAUAGUUCCAAAUUGUUCUCCAGAGUGGUUGGGUUAGUUCACAAUACCAUCAACAGAACAUUAGUGUUCCAUUUUCCCCACAUCCUCUUAAGCAUUUAUCAUUUUCUUUUCCUAUCUUCUUAGCCAAUCUGAAAGGUAUGAGAUGGUAUGUCAGAGUUGUUUUAGUUUGUAUUUCUCUAAUCACAAAUGACUAAACAAAUAUCUUGUAUUUCUUCAUUUGAAAACUGCUUGAUCAUAUCCUUCCACCUAUCACAUAAAUUUGACUUGCUUCUCUAUACAUUUGAGAAAUGAAGCUUUUAUCAGAGACACAUGCUGUUAACAAUUCUUUCUCAUCUUUCUACUUUCCUUCUCAUCUUGGUUGCAUUAGUUUUAUUUGUGCCUAAAGCUUUUAAUUUAGUAUAAUCAGAAUUUUUUAUUUUGCAUUUUUAUCUCUUCUUUGGUCAGGAAUUUCCCCUUUCCCACAGAUUAUUAUUCUUUACUCUUCUAAUUUGCUUAUGACGUCACCCUUUAUGUCUAAAUUAUGCACACCUUAUCCUGGUAUCAGGUGUGAAAAGUUGAUCUUGUGUCCUAUUGUUUUCCAAUUUUCUCAGCAGUCUUUGUCAAAUAGUAUGAGUCUUAUUCUAAAGGUU